GUUCUUGAAAUUUAAAAAAUUUGGCGGUAUUUUAGUCUUUUCUAGAGGAACCUGCCCUGUAAUUGAUAUUCCACGAUUAAUUGUACUUAAUUUAAAAGUUUAUAUAUCGUCGUAGUUGAAUACCUUAAAAGAGUUAAGUAUUCAAUAUUUAUAAUUUUAUAAAUAAAAUCAGAUCAAGAUAUAGUUUAUAAUUAAGAAGAGGUGGGUUACAAUAAAAGUUAUUUACGGUUAUAGAAAUUAAAAUUUUUAUUUAAGUUGGAUUUAAAAGUAAUAUAUUUGAGUUAAAAUAUGUGAUUUAAGCUCUAAAAUAUGCACAUAUCGCCCGUCGCUUCCAAUAAAUUUUAAGUUGGAAUAAGUCGUAACAUAGUAGGCGUACCGGAAGGUGUGCCUAGUUUGUCAAAUUAAAACUUUAUUAAGUAUUUUAUUUACAUUAAAAAAAUAAUUGUGUAAAUCAAUUUAAUUUGAAUUUAAAAAUUUAUAUAUAAUAUAUAUUUAUUAAUAGUUAAAAAAAAUAUUUUUAUAUUUAUUUAUUAAGCUUAGAUAAAAUUAUUUAAAUUAUAGAUUAUUUGUAUAGUGAUAGAAAAUUGAAAAAAUUUAAUUAAAUAUUUAAAAGAAAAAUUAAAUUUUUGUACCUUGUGUAUCAGGGUUUAUUAAAUAAUAAUUAUAGAAUUAAUUUUCUCGAAUUUAAAAGAGUUAAGAAAUUAUUUAUUUUAUUGUAAAAUAAAUAUUUAAGAUAAUUUUUUAGUAAUGAAACGUUAUUCGUUUUUAAAUUUAUCUAGUUUUUUAAGAAAUAAAUUUAAUUUAGUUAAUUAUUUUAUAAUUAAAAUAAUUAUUUAUUUUAAUAUUAAUAUAAUUAAUUAAUAUUUUAAGGGAUAAGCUUUAAAAUAAAUUUUUAAAAAUUAAAUGAAUUUUAUAUAUAAAUUAAUAGGGUUAGAAUUUUUUAUUAUUAAUAGUAUGUUAUAAUAAAUUUAUAUUUAAAUUAAAUUUUUAUAUAAUUUUAAAUUGUUUAUUAAAAUUAUUUAUUUAAUAGUAAAAUAUAUGUAAUAAUGAUAAAAUUAGUAUAAAUUUUAUGUUUAGUUAAUUUAAUAAUUAAGGUUAAAUUAAGGAAUUCGGCAAAUAAGUUUUCUGCCUGUUUAUUAAAAACAUGUCUUUUUGAUUAUAAUUUAAAGUCUAACCUGCCCUAUGAAUUUUUAAAUGGCCGCGGUAUUUUGACCGUGCAAAGGUAGCAUAAUCAUUAGUUUCUUAAUUAGGAACUGGUAUGAAUGGUUGGACAAGAAAAAUACUGUCUCAGUUUAAUUUAAUUAGAAUUUUAUUUUUAAGUAAAAAAGCUUAAAUAUUUUUAAAAGACGAGAAGACCCUAUAGAGUUUUAUAUUAAAAAUUUAUUUAAAAAUUUAAGUAUUUAAAAUUUAAUUAAAUAAUUAUAAUAUUUAAUUGGGGUGAUUGAAAAAUUAAUAUAACUUUUUUUAAAAGAAAAC
RNAcentral lists this ribosomal RNA (1476 nucleotides) under Lepanus villosus. RNAcentral's name for it is "partial large subunit ribosomal RNA". The record is from RNAcentral. Lineage: Eukaryota; Metazoa; Arthropoda; Insecta; Coleoptera; Scarabaeidae.